Molecule: ribosomal RNA, 433 nt
Filed under: uncultured bacterium
Lineage: Bacteria
Description: partial 16S ribosomal RNA
Rfam family: Bacterial small subunit ribosomal RNA
Source: RNAcentral
AGCGAACGCUGGCGGCAGGCCUAACACAUGCAAGUCGAACGAACUCUUCGGAGUUAGUGGCGGACGGGUGAGUAACACGUGGGAACGUGCCUUUUGGUUCGGAAUAACUCAGGGAAACUUGUGCUAAUACCGAAUGUGCCCUUCGGGGGAAAGAUUUAUCGCCAUUAGAGCGGCCCGCGUCUGAUUAGCUAGUUGGUGAGGUAACGGCUCACCAAGGCGACGAUCAGUGGCUGGUCUGAGAGGAUAACCAGCCACACUGGGACUGAGACACGGCCCAGACUCCUACGGGAGGCAGCAGUGGGGAAUCUUGCGCAAUGGGCGAAAGCCUGACGCAGCCAUGCCGCGUGAAUGAUGAAGGUCUUAGGAUUGUAAAAUUCUUUCACCGGGGACGAUAAUGACGGUACCCGGAGAAGAAGCCCCGGCUAACUUCGUG